RNAcentral lists this ribosomal RNA (476 nucleotides) under uncultured organism. Its description in RNAcentral is "bacterial SSU rRNA". It matches the Rfam family "Bacterial small subunit ribosomal RNA", at positions 346 to 816 of the family's 1533-position model. The record is from RNAcentral.
GUGCACCAGGCGAGAAUUUUUCUCAAUGGGGGAAACCCUGAAGGAGCGACGCCGCGUGGAGGAUGAAGGUCUUCGGAUUGUAAACUCCUGUCAUUUGGGAACAAGUUGCAUCGAUUAACUGUCGAUGCAUUGAUAGUACCAGAAGAGGAAGAGACGGCUAACUCUGUGCCAGCAGCCGCGGUAAUACAGAGGUCUCAAGCGUUGUUCGGAUUCAUUGGGCGUAAAGGGUGCGUAGGUGGCGGGGUAAGUCAGGUGUGAAAUCUCGAGGCUCAACCUCGAAACUGCACUUGAUACUGCCUUGCUAGAGUACUGGAGAGGAGAUUGGAAUUUACGGUGUAGCAGUGAAAUGCGUAGAUAUCGUAAGGAAGACCAGUGGCGAAGGCGAAUCUCUGGACAGUUACUGACACUGAGGCACGAAGGCCAGGGGAGCAAACGGGAUUAGAUACCCCUGUAGUCCCUGAGACGCCAAGGCACAC